Molecule: unclassified non-coding RNA, 581 nt
Filed under: Leishmania donovani
Lineage: Eukaryota; Euglenozoa; Kinetoplastea; Trypanosomatida; Trypanosomatidae
Description: gene:unknown
Source: RNAcentral
UAUUCAUCGCGCCCACCUUGGCAUUCAUCUUCUUUGUGUGUGUGUGUGUGUGUCCUCUUGUUAUUCGAUUUGCCACACAUGUGGUGACACGAGCGAUGGACCAUGUUGUCAAGAGUCUCUUCCUCUUUCGUCUUACCUCGACACGACACCCACGGAUGUAUGCAAGCCCACACGACAGAAUACAUAUCUAUAGCACUAUCUAUACAUAUCCAUCUAUAUAGAUGGAUAAGUAGACAUGUAUAGAUCUAUGUUAAUGUGUGCAUAUAUGUGUGCGUAUUCGAAGCUGUCCGCGCCGUAGCGGGCCGCUUCCUCAACAGCAACAAAAGAGACCGACACUCGCAGCGCAGUCAUUGCGUCUGUGGUACUCGCUGCCCGGCGGCUCACGUGGGAUGAUGAGGCCUACAAGGGGCGCACACACUGCCCCAGCAUACAAAGAGGGCGCAGCGUAGGAUUUUAGAAUACCGUGUUCUCUGCGUUUCUCUCCAUUGGUGGGGUGCCGUAAGCCGACCCCGGCGCAGCACCACCGAUAAUCGGAGGUAUGGCCUACCUUCCUUCGCAUGGCCCCACGCGCUGCUUCCGUG